Long non-coding RNA from Equus caballus (horse), 2093 nucleotides. The record is from Ensembl. Lineage: Eukaryota; Metazoa; Chordata; Mammalia; Perissodactyla; Equidae.
CUUCCACUCCUCGAUGCCCCCAACCAAUUCCUGGGCAAUCACUGAUCUGCUGUCACCAUAGAUGAGUUUGCAUUUUCUAGAAUUUUACGUAAAUGGAAUCAUACACCUUUUUGAAUGGCUUCUUUGAAACAACGUAAUUGUUUUGAGGUUCAUUAGCGUUGUUGUAUCAAUACUAUAUUCCUUUUCAUCACUAAGUAGUAUUCUGUUGUAUGCACAAACCAUUAUUUGUUUACCCGUUCAUGUGUUGAUGGACAUUUGGGCAGGUUCAAGUUCAUUUCUCUUGGGUAAAUAUGUAAGAGUUGAAAAGCUGAGUCAUAUGGUAGGUAUAUAUAUUUAACAUUUUAAGUAUGUUGAGCCAAACUACCAAACUGGCUGAUCGUUUUACACUUCCAUAGCAAAGUAUGACAGUUUCAGUAGCUCCACGUGCUUGGUAUGGUCAACACUUGGUGUGCUCAGUUUAUUUAGUUAUAGCCAUUCUGAUAGGUUGUAGUGAUUUUCGUUUGUAUUUCCCUAAUGACUAAUGAUGCUGAGCCCCUCUUCAUUUGCCUAAUUGCCGCCCAUAGAUCUACUUUAGUGAAGUGUCCAAAUCUUUUGUCCAAUUUUAAAAUUGAAGUUCUUUGUUUUCUUGUUAUUGAACUUUUAGAAUUUUUUAUAUAUUCUGGGUAUAACUUCUUUGUCAGAUAUGUGAUUUGUAAGUAUUUUCUCCUAGUCCUUUCAUUCUCCUAAGAAUUUCUUUCAAAGAGCAGAAGUUUUAAUGAAUUCCAAUUUACCAUUUCUUUUCUUUUAUAGAUCUUGUUGUGUCUAAGGAGUCUUUGCCUAACCAAACAUUCAGAAAAUUUUCAGUGUUUUCUCAGAAGCUUCAUGGUUUCAGUUCUUACUUUUGGGUCUAUGAUCUAUUUUGGGCUAAUUUUGGUACCUUGAGGGAGGUGUGGCUCAAAAUACAGGUUUGGUCCAGUUGACAAAUAGGAACUCAGAAGAAGAAAAUAGAGAGAAUGAUGGAAAGGAAAUAUUUGUAAAGUUAUUGACUAAGAAUUUUCCAUAUUUGUGAAAUGUGUUCAUCUACCAAUUCAGAAAACAAAAUAGGUUCUAACAGGACAAAUUAAAAAUCCCCAUUUUCCCAUUAGACUGCUAUCUCUUUUAUUUAUAGGAUUUCCUUGAGUAUUUUAGAUGAUAAUCCCUUGUUGACUUUAGACAUUGCAAAUAUUUUUCCCCUAUGAUAUCUACUUAUUAUCUCUGGAGUCCUUCACAGUGCAAAAGUUACCAAUUUUGAAGGAAUCAAGUUCAUCAGUUAUUUGCCUCAUGGCCAGUAUUGGAGUUUUCUUGAGUCCUUUCCUACCCCGAGGUCACAGAGAUAUCACCUCCGUUUUCCUCUGCUCUUGUUAUGGUUUUGCCUUUAUUUUUAGGUCUUUAAAGUCCCUGGCAUCCACUUCUUUCUAUGAUGUUAAGUAGGGAUCCAGUCUUACCACCCAGCCUCCCUACUGAACAAUCUGAGCGUCCUCCCAUUGGUAGGGUAACUUACUCCCUCUUUACGCAUCUUCUUCCAGGGAAAUUUAUCAAGGCUCAAAAAGCUCAACGGAAAUUUGUGUUCAAAUUGCAUCAAAUGCAUGGAUUAAUUUGGGGAGAUUUGCCGUCCUUAUAACAUUGUCAUCCCUUCCAACAGCAUGAAAUAUCCAUUUAUUAGGAUUGCUGGUUAGAGAAACACUGUUGAUAUUUGUGGGUUGAGCUGGUAUGAACACUUCUAUGAGUUCUAAUAUUUUAGCAAUGGAUUCUUGUGUUUAUCUGGAUCACGUUAACUGGGAAUGAUGACAUUUUUAUUUCUUCCGUUGUAAUUCGUACACAACCUCUUUCCUGACAUGGAAACUCUAGCACUGUGUUAAAUAGUAGCAGGAUAGUGGACACAUUUGUUUCCAGCUUUAAAGGCAAUCCAUCUAAUGUUUUUCCAUUCAGUAUGAUGUUUGUAUAGAUUUUUGUUAUAUGACCCUUACAAGGUUAAGAAAGUCUCCUUUUAGUUCUAAUUUGUUGAACUUUAUCUAAUGUUUUUUCUGUGUCCAUUGAAAUAUAUGAAUUUGAUGAAUAAUAGACACAGUUUAAAU